AGAAAGAGAGAAUUAAAAUGCACUUGGCCGUGAGAUUGGAUGGUUGCAACAUUGCAAUUGUGUGGAGAAUUGGUCAUUUUGCUUCUUUCUUUGUUUGUUCCUUUCAUUAAAUGAGGGAAGAGGAAGUGUGAGUGGGGUAUAGUAUUUUAUUAUGUGUGUGCAUGAGUUUUGGAAAGAGAAAGUGUAAAGUUGAGCUCUCUUUUACGUGUGAAAAUGCUGUAGCAUAGGUGUGCAUUUUCUUUGGUUUGCUUUGCUUUUUGUUGUUUUGUAUGCAUGGUUUGAGAGAGCAAAAAAAUUAAAGAAAUGUUUGAUUGCAUUGCUAUAACCGAAAACGUUCCAGGGGGAAAAGUUUUAUUUCUCAUUUGCUUCUUCUCUUCACUUACUUUUUAUAAUACAUGGUUCAUAUGUAUUUCUCCGCUUUGCAUGGGUUGGGACACAUGUUUUCUAGACUUAGGAAGCUUGUAAGUGAUCUUGGAGUUCUUUGGGGAGGUUAACCAUUAAAUUAAAAAUUGUAGGCUACAUAAAUGGGUUAUAGAGGCACUUUAACACACUUUAUGCCUAUCAUUUACACACAUUACAGUAAGGUUUUAUUGGUGUUAAUGUGGAGUUAGGAAUGGGAAAAAUCUGAAAUGAGUUGGGUAGGAUGCCUUUGGAAGUGACCUUGAAUGGUUGGUUAAGGGUUAGAAAGGUUAGGGUUGGUUCCACUUAAGUUUGUAAUUUUAAGUUAGUUAGGUGGCAUUACAAACUUUUUUUGGAGAGUGAAAAAGAGAGAGCAUGAGUUGUUUUGGAGAGGCACAUUUGGUGAGAGAAAGAGAGUUAAAACUCUAGCAUUUGGACGUGACUUAGAGAAGGAGAGCUUAGAAGAUUGAAGCUUGAUGUGUCUAAUGAAGGAAAGAAAGAAGAAAGAAGAAGCUUGGUGUCAUGGGAGGAAGAAGAACAAGAAGGAAGAAUUAUGGAAGUGGAAGGAGGAGAUGGGUACACUACAAAUUACCUAGUAAAAAGAGAAGAGUUGGGAGUUUGGAGUUGGAGUUGAGAAAGAGAACAAAGUGGAAGGGGUGGUUGUUAAAUGGUAGUCAAGUGUACCUAAUUGUAUCAAGUAAUAAUAAAUGGUUAGACUAAGUAUCGUUUCCCAAGAGACUCGUGUUACUAAACAAUUGUGUAAUACCUUAACUAAUUAAGACUAAAAAGUUAUUCCAAUGGUUGAAAUUAAAAUGCAAUAAAAGUAAAUAUGAUAACAGAAUGUAAAAUUGA
Molecule: long non-coding RNA, 1251 nt
Filed under: Vigna radiata
Lineage: Eukaryota; Viridiplantae; Streptophyta; Magnoliopsida; Fabales; Fabaceae
Description: long non-coding RNA (VRAD_LNC005793)
Source: RNAcentral